This 746-nucleotide ribosomal RNA is filed under the name Trentepohliaceae sp. Kukwa 19256a. RNAcentral describes it as "SSU rRNA". It matches the Rfam family "Eukaryotic small subunit ribosomal RNA", at positions 291 to 1045 of the family's 1831-position model. The record is from RNAcentral. Lineage: Eukaryota; Viridiplantae; Chlorophyta; Ulvophyceae; Trentepohliales; Trentepohliaceae.
UGUUUCAUUCAAAUUUCUGCCCUAUCAACUUUCGACGGUAGGGUAGUGGCCUACCGUGGUGGUAACGGGUGACGGAGGAUUAGGGUUCGAUUCCGGAGAGGGAGCCUGAGAAACGGCUACCACAUCCAAGGAAGGCAGCAGGCGCGCAAAUUACCCAAAUCCCAACUCGGGGAGGUAGUGACAAGAAAUAACGAUGCUCCGGCCUCACGGUCGGGUAAUCGGAAUGAGAACAAUUUAAAUCCCUUAUCGAGGAUCAAUUGGAGGGCAAGUCUGGUGCCAGCAGCCGCGGUAAUUCCAGCUCCAAUAGCGUAUAUUUAAGUUGCUGCGGUUAAAAAGCUCGUAGUCGGAUUUCGGGUGGCGCCUACCGGUCCGCCUUUGGUGAGUACUGGUAGGUGCCACCUUUCUGCCGAGGACGGGGUACUGGGCUUAACUGUCUGGGCCCCGGAGUCGGCGAUGUCACUUUGAGUAAAUUAGGGUGUUCAAAGCAGGCUUAUGCUCUGUAUACACUAGCAUGGGAUGACACGAUAGGACUUCGGUUUAUCUUGUCGGUCUGUAGAUCGGAGUAAUGAUUAAGAGGGACAGUCGGGGGCAUUCGUAUUUCGUAGUCAGAGGUGAAAUUCUUGGAUUUACGGAAGACGAACUUCUGCGAAAGCAUUUGCCAAGGAUGUUUUCAUUGAUCAAGAACGAAAGUCGGGGGCUCGAAGACGAUUAGAUACCGUCGUAGUCUCGACCAUAAACGAUGCCGA